This 440-nucleotide ribosomal RNA is filed under the name uncultured bacterium. Its description in RNAcentral is "partial 16S ribosomal RNA". It matches the Rfam family "Bacterial small subunit ribosomal RNA", at positions 338 to 795 of the family's 1533-position model. The record is from RNAcentral.
CCUACGGGUGGCUGCAGUGGGGAAUAUUGCACAAUGGGGGGAACCCUGAUGCAGCGACGCCGCGUGAGUGAAGAAGUAUUUCGGUAUGUAAAGCUCUUUCAGCAGGGAAGAAAAUGACGGUACCUGACUAAGAAGCCCCGGCUAAAUACGUGCCAGCAGCCGCGGUAAUACGUAGGGGGCAAGCGUUAUCCGGAUUUACUGGGAGUAAAGGGAGCGUAGGCGGCUGAGCAAGUCUGAAGUGAAAGCCCGCGGCCCAACUGCGUGAGUGCUUUGGAAACUGGCCGACUAGAGUGCUGGAGAGGUAAGCGGAAUUCCAGGUGUAGCGGUGAAAUGCGUAGAUAUAAGGAGGAACACCAGUGGCGAAGGCGGCUUGCUGGACUGUAACUGACGCUGAGGCUCGAAAGCGUGGGGAGCAAACAGGAUUAGAUACCCCAGUAGUC